This 2724-nucleotide long non-coding RNA is filed under the name Salmo salar (Atlantic salmon). Its description in RNAcentral is "lncRNA (ENSSSAG00000104461.1)". Lineage: Eukaryota; Metazoa; Chordata; Actinopteri; Salmoniformes; Salmonidae. The record is from RNAcentral.
GCAGACUCCAAAUGCAAAAAAAAAAAAACACAAAACAAAAGGGAGGGUAAUAAUUGGCUAUGGCGGCUCAAAUGCAGUCCACAUAACCUCCAGCAUAGGAGGCGGCUCCGGUUCUGGGCGUACUCCCCGCUCCACCCGCUGAUCCUUCUGCUUUAUUACCACCUGACCGUGGAUCGUCAUCGAAGGAACCGGACUGUAGAUCAUUGCUGGAAGUUCUAGGCUGCGGGCCGCCGCCGGAGGUUCUGGGCUGCGGGCCGCCGCCGGAGGCUCCGGACUGGGGAGCGUCGCCAGAGGCUCCGGACUGGGGAGCGUCGCCGGAGUCUCCGGACUGGGGAGCGUCGCUGGAGGCUCCGGAUGGAAAAGCGUCACCGGAGGCUCCGGACUGGGAGGCGUCAUAAUAGGUUCCAGAAUAAUGACCGUUGCUGCUGGCUCCAUGCUAUGGAUCAUCUCUACAGGUUCCGCGCCAAGGAUCAUCACUGGAGGCUUCUUGCCAUGGAUUAUCUCUACAGGUGCCGGGCCAUGGAUUAUUCCUACAGGCUUCGUGCCAUGGUUUAUCCCUACAGGCUCCGGACCAUUUAUAAUCCCUCCAGGCUUUUUGCCAAGGAUUAUUUCUUCAGGUUCUGGGCCAUGGAUUACCUCUUCAGGCUUCGUGCCAUGGAAUAUCCCUACAGGCACCGGGCCAUGGAUCAUCACUAGAGGCUUGGUGCCAUGGAUCAUCUCUACAGGCGUCGGACCAUCGAUUAUCACUGGAGGCUUUGUACAUGGAGCAGGAACCGGUCUCACUGGACUGGGGAGACGCACUGAGGACCGAGUGCUCAAAGCAGACACCGGCCAUACUGGGUUAUGGAUGCGCACUGGAGGGAGUGUGCGAAGAACAGGCACAGGACGUACUGGAUUCUGGAGGCGCACUGGAGGGAUAGCGCGAGGAGCAGGCACAGGACGUACUGUGCUAUGGAGGCGCACUGGAGAGAGAGUGCGCGAGGCAGACACAUGCUCACCACAAAAAGCAUGGGGAGUUGACUCAGGCCUCUCCCCUGGCCCAGCCAAACUACCCGUGUGCCCCCCCCCCCCAAUUGUUUUGGGGGGGUUGCCUCUCGUUCUUCCCAGGUAGGCUCCGGUAUCUCUUGAUUACCUGGCCCCAGGUCCAAUUUCUCCUCUCCGUCCACUCACUAUGUGACCAGGUGUCCAUAUCAGCCUGGGCACGCCGCUUGAUCCAAUCAUUGUGGGUAGUUCUGUAACGCGGGUCAUAUAAAGGGGACCAAGGCGCAGCGUGUAGAGUGCUCAUUUCUUAACUUUAAUGAAGACACUUAAACAAAACAACAAAACGACAGCCAACAGUUCCAUCAGGUACACUUGACAAAACGGAAAACAACUACCCACAAAACCCAGGAAGACAAACCCCUACUUAAAGAUGAUCUCCAAUCAGAGGCAACGAGGACCAACUGCCUCCAAUUGGAGAUCAACCCAAAAACACCCAACAUAGAAAUAGAAAACCUAGAACCCAAAUAUAGAAAUAGAAAACAUAGAAAAACACAAAACACCCCCUGUCACGCCCUGACCUACUCUACUAUAGAAAAUGACAUCUUACUAGGGUCAGGACGUGACAUCAAGCUAAAUGUAUUCACCACACUGGGUGUUCCUGCUGCAUAGCACGUAUACAGGUCACACAAGCACAUAUAUCUAUAUCUUCUGACUAGGCCCUCCCCCUUCUAUGUCUAGGAUGGACAAUCAGUCCCUGUUGCUAGUUUGUUCUUCCUAUUGAUGUUAUCGUGUCCCAACCUGAGUCCAGAACCUUUGUACUCCUCUGUGCCUUUCAUCGGUCUUAUCAGUCAGGAGAGGCCUUGAGUUAUUGGGAGUACACAUUCCCACAGUCUUCUAAAGUUCACUAGAUAAUUGUACUUCCCAUACACAAAGAGUUUAAACCUAACACUACUUUCAAACUCGAAGAAUAUAUAAAAAUGGUAUAUUCAUACUAAGAGUACAUAAUGAUAUAAACAGUAAAGAUUUAAGACAGUGUUAUAGAAUAGUAAUUACGAUCUAUCAGCUCCAACCCCAGACAUAUGGCUCCUAUUCAACCCUUAUAGAAUCAUUCUUGCACUCAGCCUUUGUACUUUCCCUUUGCCCAAAUGCAAUGCACAUUGCUAAUUCCAACUAAUCCAUAACACGAUAAUUACUACUGCUAGGCUAAUUGUACAAUUAUAAACAGAUGAAAACGGACUCAAGUCAAAUAAUCUAACAUUGCUCUCACCAUUAACAGUGCUUAAAUGUGUAAAUCGGGAGAUACCGGAACAAAAAGUGAGCGUCAGAGGGAGGUGACCUGGGGAGCUCUGAGGUAAUGAAACGCAUGAGAAAAUUUGUUUUGAAACUUUUUAAUAAAGCAUGCAUAUCAUCACAUUUGCAUAGUGGCAUUGGGCAUAAAUCAGUAGAGUAGAGACACUACUACAUAGUACCCUCUAAGCUUAUCAUUAAGCUCGGGGGCCUGGGUCUGAACCCCACCCUGUCCAGGACCCAGGACUUCCUGACGGGCCACCCCCAAGUGGUGAAGGUAGGAAACAACACCUCCACUUCGCUAAUCCUCAACAUAGGGACCCUACAAGGGUACGUGCUCAGCUCCCUCCUGUACUCCCUGUUCACCUAUGACUGCGUGGCCACGCACACGUCCAACUCAUUCAUCAAGUUUGCAGAUGGCACAACAGUAGUAGGCUUGAUGACCAACAAAUGGGG